GUAAGCCGAUCAUCGGUUACCAGCGGUGCAUUAAGUGUGUCAAGGGUCAUCUGGUUUAUAGUCCCGGUUUCCAGUCCCUGGGUGGUACGUUACGCAAGAAGGGGUCUUUGUUGUUGGAUCAGCUCUGGUGAGUGUCAACUCAAUUCAGUGUGGAAGUCUAUAUCGACAGUGUUAGUUUAGUGUGAGCCUCUUUGGAACCAGAU
This is a long non-coding RNA of Macrobrachium nipponense, 203 nucleotides long. RefSeq lists it as uncharacterized. The transcript is spliced from 4 exons. The record is from RefSeq and is a predicted model, not a curated record. Lineage: Eukaryota; Metazoa; Arthropoda; Malacostraca; Decapoda; Palaemonidae.